This 345-nucleotide unclassified non-coding RNA is filed under the name soil metagenome. Its description in RNAcentral is "partial contains 5.8S ribosomal RNA, internal transcribed spacer 2, and large subunit ribosomal RNA". The stretch from base 1 to 118 matches the Rfam family "5.8S ribosomal RNA", at positions 35 to 154 of the family's 154-position model. The record is from RNAcentral.
GAUGAAGACGUAGCGAAAUGCGAUACGUAAUGUGAAUUGCAAAUUCAGUGAAUCAUCGAGUCUUUGAACGCACAUUGCGCCCCCUGGUAUUCCGGGGGGCAUGCCUGUCCGAGCGUCAUUGCUGCCCUCAAGCACGGCUUGUGUGUUGGGCCCCGUCCUCCGAUCCCGGGGGACGGGCCCGAAAGGCAGCGGCGGCACCGCGUCCGGUCCUCGAGCGUAUGGGGCUUUGUCACCCGCUCUGUAGGCCCGGCCGGCGCUUGCCGAUCAACCCAAAUUUUUUAUCCAGGUUGACCUCGGAUCAGGUAGGGAUACCCGCUGAACUUAAGCAUAUCAAUAAGCGGAGGA